Molecule: non-coding RNA, 64 nt
Organism: Haloferax mucosum ATCC BAA-1512
Lineage: Archaea; Methanobacteriati; Methanobacteriota; Halobacteria; Halobacteriales; Haloferacaceae
Source: Rfam
CCCGUCACGAACGGGACGAAAUGUGGUCAUCGAGGGAGUGUCCCUCCACCGACUGAAUCGCAAG